Molecule: ribosomal RNA, 387 nt
Filed under: uncultured bacterium
Lineage: Bacteria
Description: bacterial SSU rRNA
Rfam family: Bacterial small subunit ribosomal RNA
Source: RNAcentral
GACGAACGCUGACGGUGUGCUUUAGACAUGCAAGUCGAACGAGAAAGCCCUUCGGGGUUAGUAAAGUGGCGAACGGGUGAGUAACACGUGGGCAAUCUGCCCCUCGCAGGGGGACAACCGGAGGAAACCCCGGCUAAUACCCCGUAAGUUCAAAGGGAGGCAUCUCCCCUUGAAGAAAGGUAGCUUCGGCCAUCCGGCGAGGGAUGAGCCCGCGGUGCAUUAGCUAGUUGGUGGGGUAACGGCCCACUAAGGCGACGAUGCAUAGCUGGUCUGAGAGGAUGAUCAGCCACACUGGGACUGAGACACGGCCCAGACUCCUACGGGAGGCAGCAGUCGGGAAUCUUGCGCAAUGGGCGAAAGCCUGACGCAGCAACACCGUGUGUGUGA